CGUACGUCUAGGCUCACACAGUCAAGGUUUGCUCUUUUGCCUUCGAAAAACAGCAUUCGGGGUUAAUAUGAAUCUUCUUCUAAUAUAAAUCGGAAACUAUACAACUUGCAGUGAAGGUAUGUCUGUUAUUAAAGUACGUUUUCCGUAUGCCCUUAUGAUCUAGUUUUAAAACUUUAAUUACUAGGGCGGCGGGCUGAGCUGUUGUUCGAAAGCUGACUAGCUGCAUGAACCACAGGUAAACCUUAGUUGGCAGGAAAAAGAUUUCUACUUCCAGUGCAAUGAAAGGCCAGAAUUUCAAACCUUAUAUAUAUAAAUAUAUGUAUAUAGCACACUCACAAUAUUACUCCAAGUUGAAGCAAAGGCCACAUUGUGAUAAACAGUUGAAUAUAACGCCAAUCUUUAAUAACGUAAGAUAUCAAUGCCAAUGACAUGACACCAACAGGCCAAAAUGAAGUAUACACUAUACCAGAUACACUACGAUAUUGUACUGCUAGUAUUUCCAUGAAACUUAGAAAUGAUGUCAUCUGUAAACCCUAAGAAAUCAGAAUUUAGACUAGAA
Molecule: non-coding RNA, 559 nt
Organism: Paramuricea clavata
Lineage: Eukaryota; Metazoa; Cnidaria; Anthozoa; Malacalcyonacea; Plexauridae
Source: the annotation of a GenBank genome assembly